RNAcentral lists this ribosomal RNA (320 nucleotides) under uncultured bacterium. Its description in RNAcentral is "bacterial SSU rRNA". It matches the Rfam family "Bacterial small subunit ribosomal RNA", at positions 477 to 793 of the family's 1533-position model. The record is from RNAcentral.
AGCUGCAGAAGAAGCACCGGCUAACUCCGUGCCAGCAGCCGCGGUAAUACGGAGGGUGCGAGCGUUAAUCGGAAUUACUGGGCGUAAAGCGCAUGCAGGUGGUUUGUUAAGUCAGAUGUGAAAGCCCGGGGCUCAACCUCGGAAUUGCAUUUUGAAACUGGCAGACUAGAGUACUGUAGAGGGGGGUAGAAUUUCAGGUGUAGCGGUGAAAAUGCGUAGAGAUCUGAAGGAAUACCGGUGGCGAAGGCGGCCCCCCUGGACAGAUACUGACACUCAGAUGCGAAAGCGUGGGGAGCAAACAGGAUUAGAUACCCUGGUAG